CAGUCGCCACGGGAAUACGUAGGGUGCGAGCGUUAAUCGGAAUUACUGGGCGUAAAGCGCACGCAGGCGGUUUGUUAAGUCAGAUGUGAAAGCCCUGGGCUCAACCUGGGAAUUGCAGUGGAUACUGGGUCACUAGAGUGUGGUAGAGGAUAGUGGAAUUUCCGGUGUAGCAGUGAAAUGCGUAGAGAUCGGAAGGAACAUCUGUGGCGAAGGCGACUAUCUGGGCCAACACUGACACUGAGGCACGAAAGCGUGGGGAGCAAACAGGAUUAGAUACCCGAGUAGUCCCUGUCUCUUAUAC
This 301-nucleotide ribosomal RNA is filed under the name uncultured bacterium. RNAcentral describes it as "partial 16S ribosomal RNA". It matches the Rfam family "Bacterial small subunit ribosomal RNA", at positions 509 to 807 of the family's 1533-position model. The record is from RNAcentral.